AAUGUGGAAGGAUUUGUAAGCCCAUAUGUGUCUGGGCACAUUGUUUUUCGCCAUUGUAAAAAGAGCCGGGAAAAUUGAGCUUGCGUUGUCGUGUAAGAGUUGGAGGACACACUGCGAAUAAAACGUGUUCUACUACCACGGAUUAGUCUGCCCUUUCUUUCGGGAACCAAUGUGUGGGGUAGCCGUUUAAGGCAACUCCAAGUGACGCACGACGACAGGUUCAACAUUAAAGUGCUCUUAAAACUAAUAAAUAUGAAUGUAUACA
Molecule: long non-coding RNA, 265 nt
Organism: Drosophila sechellia
Lineage: Eukaryota; Metazoa; Arthropoda; Insecta; Diptera; Drosophilidae
Exons: 2
Source: RefSeq, a predicted model, not a curated record